Molecule: ribosomal RNA, 799 nt
Filed under: Verruconis calidifluminalis
Lineage: Eukaryota; Fungi; Ascomycota; Dothideomycetes; Venturiales; Sympoventuriaceae
Description: eukaryotic LSU rRNA
Rfam family: Eukaryotic large subunit ribosomal RNA
Source: RNAcentral
GGGAUUGCCUCAGUAACGGCGAGUGAAGCGGCAACAGCUCAAAUUUGAAAUCUGGCGCCUUCGGCGUCCGAGUUGUAAUUUGUAGAGGGAGUCUCGGGUUAGGGGUCGGUCCAAGUUCCUUGGAACAGGAUGCCGAAGAGGGUGAGAGUCCCGUAUCCGGCCGAGGCCCGCGCCCGUGUGAGGCCCCUUCGACGAGUCGAGUUGUUUGGGAAUGCAGCUCUAAAUGGGUGGUAAAUUCCAUCUAAAGCUAAAUACUGGCCAGAGACCGAUAGCGCACAAGUAGAGUGAUCGAAAGAUGAAAAGCACUUUGAAAAGAGAGUCAAACAGUACGUGAAAUUGUUGAAAGGGAAGCGUAUGUGGGCAGACUUGGACGUUGGAUUCAGCCCGUCUUCUGGCGGGUGUACUUUCCAGCGGACAGGCCAGCAUCGGUUCUGAGGGUCGGACAAAGACGAAGGGAAAGUGGCUCUCAGAUAUGGGAGUGUUAUAGCCCGGCGUGCAAUGCGACCACUUGGGACCGAGGACCGCGCUUCGGCAAGGAUGCUGGCGUAAUGGCCUCAUACGGCCCGUCUUGAAACACGGACCAAGGAGUCUAACAUCUAUGCGAGUGUUUGGGUGUCAAGCCCGGACGCGCAAUGAAAGUGAACGGAGGUGGGAGUCUGCUGUAGCGGAUGCACCAUCGACCGAUCCUGAAGUUUUCGGAAGGAUUUGAGUAAGAGCAUAGCUGUUGGGACCCGAAAGAUGGUGAACUAUGCGUGAAUAGGGUGAAGCCAGAGGAAACUCUGGUGGAGGCUCGCAGCGG